GAGAUAGAUAGAUAGAUAGAUAGAUAGAUAGAUAGAUAGAUAGAUAGAUAGAUAGAUAGAUAGAGAUAAAGAGAGAGGAGUAGGGGAUAGAUAUAGGUAGGUAGAUAGACAGAGAUAAAGAGAGAGGAGUAGGGGUGAUAGAUAUAGGUAGAUAGAUAGAUAGACAGAGAUAAAGAGAGAGGAGUAGGGGGAUAGAUAUAGGUAGAUAGAUAGACAGAGAUAAAGAGAGAGGAGUAGGGGGAUAGAUAUAGGUAGAUUGAUCGACAGCGAUAAAGAGAGAGGAGGAGGGGGAUAGAUAUAGGUACAUAGAUAGACAGAGAUAAAGAGAGAGGAGUAGGGGGAUAGAUAUAGGUAGAUAGAUAGACAGAGAUAAAGAGAGAGGAGUAGGGGGAUAGAUAUAGGUAGAUAGAUAGACAGAGAUAAAGAGAGAGGAGGAGGGGGAUAUAUAUAGUUAGAUAGAUAAAGAGAGAGGAGGAGGGGGAUAGAUAUAGGUAGAUAGAUAGACAGAGAUAAAGAGAGAGGAGGAGGGGAUAGAUAUAGUUAGAUAGAUAGACAGAGAUAAAGAGAGAGGAGGAGGGGAUAGAUAUAGUUAGAUAGAUAGACAGAGAUAAAGAGAGAGGAGGAGGGGGAUAGAUAUAGGUAGAUAGAUAGACAGAGAUAAAGAGAGAGGAGGAGGGGGGAUAGAUAUAGGUAGAUAGAUAGACAGAGAUAAAGAGAGAGGAGGAGGGGAUAGAUAUAGUUAGAUAGAUAGACAGAGAUAAAGAAAGAGGAGGAGGGGAUAGAUAUAGUUAGAUAGAUAGACAGAAAUAAAGAGAGAGGAGGAGGGGGAUAGAUAUAGUUAGAUAGAUAAAGAGAGAGGAGGGGGAUAGAUAUAGGUAGAUAGAUAGACAGAGAUAAAGAGAGAGGAGGAGGGGGAUAGAUAUAGGUAGAUAGAUAGACAGAGAUAAAGAGAGAGGAGGAGGGGGAUAGAUAUAGGUAGAUAGAUAGACAGAGAUAAAGAGAGAGGAGGAGGGGAUAGAUAUAGUUAGAUAGAUAGACAGAGAUAAAGAGAGAGGAGGAGGGGAUAGAUAUAGUUAGAUAGAUAGACAGAAAUAAAGAGAGAGGAGGAGGGGGAUAGAUAUAGUUAGAUAGAUAAAGAGAGAGGACGGGGAUAGAUAUAGGUAGAUAGAUAGACAGAGAUAAAGAGAGAGGAGGAGGGGGAUAGAUAUAGGUAGAUAGAUAGACAGAGAUAAAGAUAGAGGAGUUGGGGAAUAGAUAAAGGUAGAUAGAUAGACAGAGAUAAAGAGAGAGGAGGAGGGGGAUAGAUAUAGUUAGAUAGAUAAAGAGAGAGGAGGAGGGGGAUAGAUAUAGGUAGAUAGAUAGACAGAGAUAAAGAGAGAGGAGUAGGGGAAUAGAUAUAGGUAGAUAGAUAGACAGAGAUAAAGAGAGAGGAGGAGGGGGAUAGAUAUAGUUAGAUAGAUAAAGAGAGAGGAGGAGGGGGAUAGAUAUAGGUAGAUAGAUAGACAGAGAUAAAGAGAGAGGAGUAGGGGAAUAGAUAUAGGUAGAUAGAUAGACAGAGAUAAAGAGAGAGGAGGAGGGGGAUAGAUAUAGUUAGAUAGAUAAAGAGAGAGGAGGAGGGGGAUAGAUAUAGGUAGAUAGAUAGACAGAGAUAAAGAGAGAGGAGGAGGGGGAUAGAUAUAGUUAGAUAGAUAAAGAGAGAGGAGGAGGG
RNAcentral lists this long non-coding RNA (1708 nucleotides) under Salmo salar (Atlantic salmon). RNAcentral's name for it is "lncRNA (ENSSSAG00000095302.1)". Lineage: Eukaryota; Metazoa; Chordata; Actinopteri; Salmoniformes; Salmonidae. The record is from RNAcentral.